This 253-nucleotide ribosomal RNA is filed under the name uncultured bacterium. Its description in RNAcentral is "partial 16S ribosomal RNA". It matches the Rfam family "Bacterial small subunit ribosomal RNA", at positions 524 to 776 of the family's 1533-position model. The record is from RNAcentral.
CACGUAGGGUGCAAGCGUUGUCCGGAAUCAUUGGGCGUAAAGAGCUCGUAGGUGGCGACGUAAGUCGGGUGUGAAAGCCCCGGGCUCAACCUGGGAAUUGCAUUCGAGACUGCAUUGCUGGAGUACGGAAGAGGAAGGCGGAAUUCCCGGUGUAGCGGUGAAAUGCGUAGAUAUCGGGAGGAACAUCAGUGGCGAAGGCGGCCUUCUGGUCCAGUACUGACACUCAAGUGCGAAAGCGUGGGGAGCAAACAGG